Molecule: transfer RNA, 52 nt
Filed under: Ardeacarus ardeae
Lineage: Eukaryota; Metazoa; Arthropoda; Arachnida; Sarcoptiformes; Pterolichidae
Description: tRNA-Ser
Source: RNAcentral
GCUUUUAAUUUUUAACUUUGAAAGUUAAUUUUUGCUGCCAAUGCUAAAAGCU